GGGCGCAUAGCUCAGGGGUAGAGCGCCGGUCUUACAAACCGGAGGUCGUUGGUUCGAAACCAACUGCGCCCA
Molecule: transfer RNA, 72 nt
Filed under: Phytoactinopolyspora halotolerans
Lineage: Bacteria; Bacillati; Actinomycetota; Actinomycetes; Jiangellales; Jiangellaceae
Rfam family: tRNA
About the family: Transfer RNA (tRNA) molecules are approximately 80 nucleotides in length.
Source: Rfam by way of RNAcentral